RNAcentral lists this ribosomal RNA (336 nucleotides) under uncultured bacterium. RNAcentral describes it as "partial 16S ribosomal RNA". It matches the Rfam family "Bacterial small subunit ribosomal RNA", at positions 338 to 690 of the family's 1533-position model. The record is from RNAcentral.
CCUACGGGUGGCAGCAGUGGGGAAUAUUGGGCAAUGGGCGCAAGCCUUACCCAGCAAUACCGCGUGAGUGAAGAAGGUCUUCGGAUUGUAAAGCUCUUUGAUCAGGGACGAACAGAUGACGGUACUUGAAGAAAAAGCAUCGGCUAACUCCGUGCCAGCAGCCGCGGUAAUACGGAGGAUGCGAGCGUUAUCCGGAUUUAUUGGGUUUAAAGGGUGCGUAGGCGGGCUGUUAAGUCAGCGGUAAAAGCCCGGGGCUCAACCCCGGCGAGCCGUUGAAACUGGCUGUCUUGAGAUGUCGAGAGGUAUGCGGAAUGCGCAGUGUAGCGGUGAAAUGCU